This 390-nucleotide unclassified non-coding RNA is filed under the name soil metagenome. RNAcentral describes it as "partial contains 5.8S ribosomal RNA, internal transcribed spacer 2, and large subunit ribosomal RNA". The stretch from base 1 to 122 matches the Rfam family "5.8S ribosomal RNA", at positions 35 to 154 of the family's 154-position model. The record is from RNAcentral.
GAUGAAGAACGUAGCGAAAUGCGAUACUUGGUGUGAAUUGCAGAAUCCCGUGAACCAUCGAGUCUUUGAACGCAAGUUGCGCCCGAAGCCACUAGGCCGAGGGCACGCCUGCCUGGGCGUCACACGCCGUUGCCCCCCCAUCUACUCCUUCGGGAUUGCGGGGGGGCGGAUGAUGGCCUCCCGUGCGCCUAGCCGCGCGGUUGGCAUAAAUACCAAGUCCUCGGCGACGCACGCCACGACAAUCGGUGGUUGCGAAACCUCGGUUGCCGUCGUGUGCGUUCGUCGCGCAUCGAGGGCUCGAAAAAAUGCUCGGCUCCGGCUGGGCUUUCAACGCGACCCCAGGUCAGGCGGGGUUACCCGCUGAAUUUAAGCAUAUCAAUAAGCGGAGGA